Molecule: non-coding RNA, 149 nt
Organism: Caenorhabditis elegans
Lineage: Eukaryota; Metazoa; Nematoda; Chromadorea; Rhabditida; Rhabditidae
Source: Ensembl
UUGCAUUUUGAAUCCAUUUGAUUUAGAAUGAAAUCUAAAAGAAAAUCCAAAUAUUGCAAAAGCAUAUGUGAGAAGUAUACAUUGAAAUUCUUGGAAUUUCACGGUUCAUAUGAUAUAGAGGGAGGCCAAGAGGCCAUGAAAAAUGAAAA